CCCGCCUCCAUGGGAGGUCCCGCCUGCCCAGUGGACUUACUAAACGGCCGCGGUACCCUAACCGUGCUAAGGUAGCGCAAUCACUUGCCCCUUAAAUAGGGGCUAGUAUGAACGGCAUCACGAGGGUUACCCUGUCUCCCCCCUUUAAUCAGUGAAACUAACCCCCCCGUGAAGAGGCGGGGAUUAUCCUAUAAGACGAGAAGACCCCAUGGAGCUUCAAAUACAUGUCACCCACCACUAAUACACCAACAGAACCAACGGAUCUGACCUCUGUUUUAGGUUGGGGCGACCACGGAGUAAAACUCAACCUCCGAGACGAACCCUAAUUCAAGAAUGACCCCUCAAAAAUCAAAACUGACGUAAUUGACCCAAAUUUAUUUGAUCAACGAAC
Molecule: ribosomal RNA, 391 nt
Filed under: Synapturanus sp. Ecuador
Lineage: Eukaryota; Metazoa; Chordata; Amphibia; Anura; Microhylidae
Description: partial large subunit ribosomal RNA
Rfam family: Archaeal large subunit ribosomal RNA
Source: RNAcentral